Molecule: ribosomal RNA, 476 nt
Filed under: uncultured bacterium
Lineage: Bacteria
Description: bacterial SSU rRNA
Rfam family: Bacterial small subunit ribosomal RNA
Source: RNAcentral
GCAGAGCACUCCUACCGGGAGGCAGCAGUGGGGAAUAUUGCACAAUGGGCGCAAGCCUGAUGCAGCCAUGCCGCGUGUAUGAAGAAGGCCUUCGGGUUGUAAAGUACUUUCAGCAGUGAGGAAGGUGGGUAUGUUAAUAGCAUAUUCACUUUGACGUUAGCUGCAGAAGAAGCACCGGCUAACUCCGUGCCAGCAGCCGCGGUAAUACGGAGGGUGCGAGCGUUAAUCGGAAUUACUGGGCGUAAAGCGCAUGCAGGUGGUUUGUUAAGUCAGAUGUGAAAGCCCCGGGGCUCAACCUCGGAAUUGCAUUUGAAACUGGCAAACUAGAGUACUGUAGAGGGGGUAGAAUUUCAGGUGUAGCGGUGAAAUGCGUAGAGAUCUGAAGGAAUACCGGUGGCGAAGGCGGCCCCCCUGGACAGAUACUGACACUCAGAUGCGAAAGCGUGGGGAGCAAACAGGAUUAGAUACCCUGGUAG